AUUGAACGCUGGCGGCAUGCUUUACACAUGCAAGUCGAACGGUAACAGGCCUUCGGGUGCUGACGAGUGGCGAACGGGUGAGUAAUGCAUCGGAACGUACCCAGAGGUGGGGGAUAACGCAGCGAAAGCUGUGCUAAUACCGCAUGUGAUCUGAGGAUGAAAGCGGGGGACCGAGCAGCAAUGUUUGGCCUCGCGCCUUUGGAGCGGCCGAUGUCGGAUUAGCUAGUUGGUGGGGUAAAGGCCUACCAAGGCGACGAUCCGUAGCUGGUCUGAGAGGACGACCAGCCACACUGGGACUGGGACACGGCCCAGACUCCUACGGGAGGCAGCAGUGGGGAAUUUUGGACAAUGGGCGCAAGCCUGAUCCAGCAAUGCCGCGUGCGGGAAGAAGGCCUUCGGGUUGUAAACCGCUUUUGGCAGGAACGAAACGGUAUCCGCUAAUACCGGGCGCUAAUGACGGUACCUGCAGAAUAAGCACCGGCUAACUACGUG
RNAcentral lists this ribosomal RNA (492 nucleotides) under uncultured bacterium. RNAcentral's name for it is "partial 16S ribosomal RNA". It matches the Rfam family "Bacterial small subunit ribosomal RNA", at positions 29 to 507 of the family's 1533-position model. The record is from RNAcentral.